Molecule: long non-coding RNA, 1309 nt
Filed under: Heterocephalus glaber (naked mole-rat)
Lineage: Eukaryota; Metazoa; Chordata; Mammalia; Rodentia; Bathyergidae
Description: lncRNA (ENSHGLG00100036438.1)
Source: RNAcentral
GUAGCUAACUGAAGACAGAGACCUCUACUCUCUCAAGCACUCCAGAAGGAAUUAUAGAGAUUUAUCUGUGUCUCUCAGUGGGAAAUGAGGCAGAAGACUAGGGCAUGACAACAUGGUUGUCAACUGGCACGACCAGCCAGUUGAAGAGACUUGUUACCAUGGGCAGAGCAGCAGCUCCCGAGCCUGACACAAGAUCAAGCCAAGCCAAGCACCUGGUGCCAAUCUUCUGACAUAAGAACAUGCUGAACCUGACACCUAAUAUCAAUCUUCUGACAAGCUGAGCCUCGCACCUGAUCCCAAUCUUCCAGCACAGGAUUGAGUGGACCACCUGCAUCAACUACUGAAGACAUAAAAAGAUGGCAGCAAAUGACUUUGCACUACUGGAGUAUAGUUAUUGCAGUUCUGUUCUGUUGCAGGACAUAUCUUCUCUUUUUUCCUUCCAAGCAACCUUUUCUCCUUGAGGACUUCUUUUGUGCUUCUUUUCCUUUUCUUCUUCUUUGUGCCUUAAAUAAAUGUUAAUCUUUCACAUUCACAAACUGGUCUGUCCAAUUCAUUGAGCGAGACAAUAAGAGCCUGGAAAGCAUUGCUGGUCUCUGCGCCACUAAGUAACAAUAGGAAGGGCAUCUUUCUUGCCCAGAGAUCAAGGGAGAAGAGGACCCGGGCUCAGUGGAGCCCACUUCCAAGAAUUGGCCCAUUCCCAGCCCUCACAGACCUGCCUUUAGGACCCAGCCCUUAGGACCUGCGCACACCUCUCCCCACCCUACUGUGCUCCACACUCAGGCCCUGGGCUCCCACUCGACCAAAGACUGCAAGUGUAAAGUGCCCAAAGCACAGUCACUGAUGAUUCAGCAUGACACAUGCCCUUCACUGGCACAGUUGCUAUUUUUGACAUUUGUUUACCUUGGAAAGAAACGACAGAAGUAGAAGAGGAAAACACGGCCGAAUGGUGAUUUACACACAGCAGAGUCCCCAAGGGCACCUGAGGCGAUCACACGGUAUAAGGUGCAGUGAAAAGAGGUGUGUGGCUCCCGAAGGUCGGGGAGAGGCUGCAGCUUGGGUCCAAGCUCUGCUCACAAGGCUACGCUGAUGUCCUCGGGAGGCAAAGAUCUGGCAGGCGGUAUUGCUGCCACUCACAAGUGGACAGUCGUCAGCUGAGGGAGGCGAAGUGACCGCACAGUUGGUUCUCAGGCCCAGCGAAGUCAUAGAUCCAGAAGCCAGGAUUUGGUCUGACGCGUAUCGGCCAGCGCAAUGAGGUACACUACCUAUACCUCUGCACCCUGUUCAACACUCUCGUCUAACCUGGAUACAC